CUGGURCUGCAGGUUUUUGUUCAACCAGUCAAUGAAGAUGUAGCACUGUGAKAUUUUGACUACUGGGGUAAUGGAACAACAGUCACGGUUCUACCAGAUCCAAAUGCUGCCUCUGAUCCUCCGUCCCUAUUCGUCCUCAGUCCCCUGCAGACUCCCGGCUACACAGUGAAGCCAGCAAACGAGUCCAGUCCAAACGUCUGUCUGGUCACAAAUUUCCAUUCAAAGUGGGAAAAUGUGGUUCUGAAUUUGAAAAGGGGUCCGGUCGAUGUGAACACGACUGAUGCUGUUCUGAAGAAUAACGGCUACYACUUUGCUGCAUUCAGCAACGAAGCCAUCUACUCCUGUGGGGUAAACGGGACCUUUGGCAACAAUGAAGCUGAUGAUGAAUGUGGCAGCAUUUAUCCAGAAAAAGCCAAGCUGAACUUCUACCUGCUGCUGAUGAACGGAGUCCGAGUGGUGUUCACCAAAGCUCUGGCCUUCAGCACCGUCCUCACCA
Poecilia reticulata (guppy) is the source of this 496-nucleotide long non-coding RNA. RefSeq lists it as uncharacterized. The record is from RefSeq and is a predicted model, not a curated record. NCBI's taxonomy places the organism in Eukaryota, Metazoa, Chordata, Actinopteri, Cyprinodontiformes, Poeciliidae.